CUUGAUGGAGCCGAGCCACAGCGGCCGGUCCGCGGGCCGGUCCUGGCCGUAGGUGGCGAGGAGGGCGUGCGCCUC
This 75-nucleotide antisense RNA is filed under the name Streptomyces ardesiacus. RNAcentral's name for it is "ASpks TB sRNA". It matches the Rfam family "ASpks TB sRNA". The record is from RNAcentral. RNAcentral also lists the same sequence under 2 other names. Lineage: Bacteria; Bacillati; Actinomycetota; Actinomycetes; Kitasatosporales; Streptomycetaceae.